RNAcentral lists this ribosomal RNA (484 nucleotides) under uncultured bacterium. RNAcentral describes it as "partial 16S ribosomal RNA". It matches the Rfam family "Bacterial small subunit ribosomal RNA", at positions 30 to 507 of the family's 1533-position model. The record is from RNAcentral.
AUUGAACGCUGGCGGCAGGCCUAACACAUGCAAGUCGAGCGGAUGAAGGGAGCUUGCUCCUGGAUUCAGCGGCGGACGGGUGAGUAAUGCCUAGGAAUCUGCCUGGUAGUGGGGGAUAACGUCCGGAAACGGGCGCUAAUACCGCAUACGUCCUGAGGGAGAAAGUGGGGGAUCUUCGGACCUCACGCUAUCAGAUGAGCCUAGGUCGGAUUAGCUAGUUGGUGGGGUAAAGGCCUACCAAGGCGACGAUCCGUAACUGGUCUGAGAGGAUGAUCAGUCACACUGGAACUGAGACACGGUCCAGACUCCUACGGGAGGCAGCAGUGGGGAAUAUUGCACAAAGGGCGAAAGCCUGAUCCAGCCAUGCCGCGUGUGUGAAGAAGGUCUUCGGAUUGUAAAGCACUUUUAGUUGGGAGGAAGGGCAGUAAGUUAAUACCUUGCUGUUUUGACGUUACCAACAGAAUAAGCACCGGCUAACUUCGUG